Molecule: ribosomal RNA, 208 nt
Filed under: uncultured bacterium
Lineage: Bacteria
Description: partial 16S ribosomal RNA
Rfam family: Bacterial small subunit ribosomal RNA
Source: RNAcentral
UGCGCAGGCGGUUAUGUAAGACAGAUGUGAAAUCCCCGGGCUCAACCUGGGAACUGCAUUUGUGACUGCAUGGCUAGAGUACGGGUAGGGGGGGAUGGAAUUCCGCGUGUAGCAGUGAAAUGCGUAGAUAUGCGGAGGAACACCGAUGGCGAAGGCGGCUACCUGGACCGAUAUUGACGCUGAGACGCGAAAGCGUGGGUAGCAAACA